CGGCGGACGGGUGAGUAACACGUGGAUAACCUACCUAUAAGACUGGGAUAACUUCGGGAAACCGGGGCUAAUACCGGAUAACACAUGAAACCGCAUGGUUUCAUGAUGAAAGACGGUUUUGCUGUCACUUAUAGAUGGAUCCGCGCCGCAUUAGCUAGUUGGUAAGGUAACGGCUUACAAAGGCAACGAUGCGUAGCCGACCUGAGAGGGUGAUCGGCCACACUGGAACUGAGACACGGUCCAG
This 244-nucleotide ribosomal RNA is filed under the name uncultured Staphylococcus sp. Its description in RNAcentral is "partial 16S ribosomal RNA". It matches the Rfam family "Bacterial small subunit ribosomal RNA", at positions 96 to 334 of the family's 1533-position model. The record is from RNAcentral. Lineage: Bacteria; Bacillati; Bacillota; Bacilli; Caryophanales; Staphylococcaceae.